UCGACGAGGGCGACCUGCCCUCCCUGCUCCGCCUCCUCGACCCCUCCGCCCACUCCCUCCUCCGCGACCGCGCCGUCGCCGCCAUCUCCCACCUCGCCACCGCCUCCGACGCUUCCCGCCACGCCGUCUUCGAGGAGGGCGCCCUCGGCCCCCUCCUCCGCCUCCUCGACUCUGGACCCGCCGCCCUGAAAGAGCGCGCCGUUGCCGCGAUCCACGCCAUGACCGCCGACCGCGCAUGCGCCUGGGCCGUCUCCGCCUACGGCGGCGUGUCGAUCCUCGUCGCCGCCUGCCACACCGGAUCCGGCUCGCCCGCCGUGCAAGCCCUCGCCGCCGGAUCCCUCAAGAACGUGGCUGUCAUCGAGGACAGUAGGGCCUCCAUGGCGGAGGACGGCGCCGUUCCGGUCCUCGUCGACCUUCUUGUCUCCGGGAAUCUCGAAGCCCAAAAGAAUGCCGCCCUCUGCCUCGCCUCCCUCGCCGUGAUGGGCGGCUCCGAGAUCCGCGCCGCCAUCCUCCAAGAGGGUGGCCUACGCCGUCUCCUCCAGUUUCUCCGCGACGCAUCGGACCCGGAGGCCAUAGAUCACGCCCUGAGAGCGAUCAGCGCCCUCUCCGCCUCUCCCGCCGCCGCCAAGCUCCUCUCUUCGUCCCCAUCUUUCUUCGCCCAACUGACGGAUCUGAUAAAGCGCGGGAGCCUCGCGAGCCAGCAGACAGCGGCGUCCCUGGUCUCCGAUCUCGCCCCAGGCGAAGUCAUCAAGCGAUCCGUAGCGGAGUCGAUACCGGCGCUGGUCAAGAUGAUGGAGUGCUCGAAGCUGGGGAGCGCGCAGCAGGCGGCGGCGGGGGCUCUGACGUCGUUGCUGGCGGUGCCGUCGAAUCGGAGGGAGCUGUCGAGGGACGAAAAGAGCGUGACGAGGUUGGUGCAGAUGCUGGACCCGAGGAACGAUGCAGUCGGGAAGCAGCUCCCGGUGGCGGUUGUGCUCGCAAUGACGGCCGGCCGUGGCGGCGCUCGGAAGCGGAUCGGGGAGGCCGGGGCAUGCCAUCAUUUGCAGAAGCUGGUGGAGGCCGACGUCCCCGGGGCCAAGAAGGCGUUGCAGCGGAUCUCCGGCGGUCGGCUCAAGCAGUUGUUCUCCAUCGGGUGGCCUCAUUGACGAUUAGGCCCCCCAAAUCUAGCCAUCAAAGGUAAUUAAUUACUUGCAGGAUUUUUAUUUUGUGGAUUUGGAUUGGAUUGAAUCCAUAUUGUUAUUUUGGUUUCAGGUUAUUAAUGGCGGGAAUGGAAAGGUGAAGAAUAAGAGAGAAGCAAAGGAAAAAAAAGGUAUGUGUGUGUAUGUGUUUUAUUAUUGCAAAUAGAGUAUAAUGAGCCAUUGGAUAGAGGUUAGGUACAGUGACGACAAGAAGCAUGCAUGCCAUGGAUGCGGAGUUUUAGGUGUAUCCUUGUGCUAUUUGUUCUGCUAGAUUUUGUUGCGUUUAUUAUUAGAUUCUCUCUCUCUCUCUCUCUAUAAAUAUAUAAUAUGUAAAUUUGUUUGCUGACUUACAUAAAACAAUGUGGAUUAUGGGUUUGUUUGCUCCGUGUAACUCUUAACACUCAUGCUUGGUUGGGGAAUUGAUGCAUCUUUUCGGAUGGGGUUUAAUGCUAGAUGUAAUGUCGUUACCACAUCAUCAUCAUAAUGAUAUGAGAAUGGUCGAUGAACGUGUGGAUUCCAAUUUGAUAGAUGAUGAGUUGUUCCUCGAAAGCCAUACAGUGAAGGAAAGUUAGGAGAAGGAAAGCCAUACAGUUUAAACAAACCCGGGAAGCAAGUAAGGCAGCACUGUUUGUAGCCAUCGCUGUUAACUUCACCUUUUUAGCUUUCUUUCUUAAAAGUAUCUCUUUACCUGUAAUUGUUUGUUCUCUUUGAAUCUAUCUGUUGCUCAAUGAGUAGUAUUUUUUUUACUGAAAAAUAUAUAUAUGUGUCAUAAUAAUUUUUUAUAUGAAGAAAUAUAUAUAUGAUUGCUUAUAGAUAUGAAGAAUUAAAUAUUUUCAUAUUUAAUUUGUUUUUAUUCUCCAAAUAAUCUAAUUUCGAAUAUAUAAAAAUACUCCCACCAAUAGCAGAGACGACGGUGGGGGAUUGCUCUCUCUCUCUCUCUCUCUCUCUGUGGCUCGAGUCUUUUUGGACACCACCUGGGAGCUCAGAGAAAGCAAACUUUUCUUUCCCACCACCGUCUCUGCUGCCAGUAAAGCAACUGCACCCGCGAGCUGUAAAGCCGCAUCCCCCAACGCUUAACCUCGCCGCUCCCCCUUUCGCUGUUGCCAUCUCCUCCCCUCUCCCGCCAUCACUGUCAGUCGUCAUCAUUUUGCCUGCGCCGGCCACAAACCGCCGCUGCUUUGCUUUAUUGGCUGUGUGAACUGCCGCAUGGAGCGCACAAAAAGAGAAGAAAACAUGACUUCACGCUGAGGUCUAAUUUGCCCCUGCAACAGCCGCCCUCCUCUUCAAUGCACCGACCUACCAACCAUUGCUUCUCGUGGCAUAAAUGGGUUAGGAUUAAUAAUCUAUUAAAUAUUACAAAUAGAUUGUUAAUCAUCUGUUCCUCGAUUGUGAUCGAUAUCUUUUUUCUUCUUCUUCUUCUUCUUAUUACAAAUCUUAACUAUGAGAGAAGCAACAUAAACUUUGUACAAUCUGCAUUGGCAUUGUUCGUUCGAGCACUCGAGAAGAGAGAGAACAAAACGAUUAAGGAUUAAAUGCUGCUGGUGUUGGAAGUACAAAAACAUCUCAACAAAACCAUGCCGUGCGUCUCAUAGCAGAAGCCCAAACCUGUGUAUCCAUCUCACACACCAAUUCCGACAACGACCUGAGAGAAGCAACAUAAAACUUUUGUGACUGCCGACGAACGAUGCAGAUUGUAGUAAACUGGUACACAUUCACAUGUAUAAACCUUCAGUUUACGAUACUUUUGGAGCCUCGAGUGGCACACACAGAAGAUAAUUUGGAGGAUAGAAAUUGAGCAGCGACUAAAGAGAGUAGUUCUACUUGAAAACCUAAGAUAUGCUCUACACUGUUAGAAGAAUGCAAUCAAGAAUCUAUACGCAGAUAGAGAAAAAAAGAAAAAGAAUGAUCUGAAUCAUGGAGACUGGUGGCUUCAAGAGAUCCCAAUUGUCUUGCCCAAAAACCACAGGAACAAAGUAAUUUCCAGCAUAAAUAAAUAUGGUGUGAAGCCAAGCCCGGUCCACCGUGAAGCCUAAUAUGGUGAUCCCUGCCCUGUUGUUCUCCAGAUAUGUCACUGUAAUAACGUUAAGAAACAUUGAUGAGUGAAAUAGAGGCCGACAGAGGACUAAGAGAAGAAUCUCAUCCCAAAGAUUGAAAUUUGAAGGAGUCCACAACUUAAUAAGAUUAUAUUUUGGGUUGAAUUAGUGUCAGUCUCAUCUAUGUUAACUUGACUAAGACUAAUCAUCGAUUUCUGCAUGUUGUCAUAGCUAAGAAUAAAAAAAAAUGAAAACGAAAAGACCUAGAUAGAAAUUGAAAGUGGAUGCUUACACUUUUGAAUUGAAUUGGUGCCAAUCUCAUCUACGUUAACUUUCACUAAUUCAUCAAUUUCAACACAAUUGAAGCAGAGUUAAACCAGAGUUUGCUAGGUAAGCCCAAACAGUCAGGUAACGAAGGAGUGCUUAAUACCAAAUGAUUUCAGAGAUUUACCGAAUGCUUGUCUCUUUUGGAAGAAAAUGGUGUGACCAUGAUGAUGUACGAUCUUCAUGCAUUCCAGUUCCUCAUCCGAGUCACACUAGCCGUUAAGCACAGGGAAUUCAGAAUCGGAUUUGGAGAUAUCUAUAGCAAACGACUCGAUGGUUGCACAAACGUGCCAUUUUGAAGCAUGGUUUGUGAGUGCUUGGGCUUUAUCUGUGAUUUCGCCAUGCUGCAUGAGCAUAUGACCAAUCCGAUCACAAGCAGAAUUGCGUAGAGCCGCAAGUACACAACCAAAAAUAUACUAUUCAAUGACUCUGAUUAAACAUGGGCAUUGCUUCAGGUUAGAUCAUGCUGCUGUUUCUUCCGAGCAUGAAUGACAAGUUCUGCAUGCGAUCAACGAAGCUCAAAUCAAAAUCACAGCCUGAAUAAGAUAACCACUUAGUGAACUUGCUUUUCAGCAAAGGAAGAAGGCCAUUGUGCAUAGCAUUUAUGGGUUGUGCCAAACAAUCAAAGUAUAAUUUUUUCGCUAAUGUGUCCAUAUAUCUCUUUCUUAUUUUUCAGCACUGAUGCUUUAACUAAAACACAGAUCCACUAAAAGAAUAAAGAAAGGCCAACUUGUGUUUUCAGAGAAAAACUAUAGAGAACACUGCAUAUAUCUUCGUACUACACCUUUAAAAUUAGGUUCAACACUUUCCAUCUUAAUCUGCAAAAAGGAAAGCUUAGAGAAUGCUAAAGCCUCAUUUCAUGCCGAGUGGAUAGCUUAACGAAGGCAUCCUUUGAUUGUAGUAAGUUCUAGCAAUUCAUUCCCUAAUUGGAAGUAAAGUUAAGCACACUAACGAAGCUAUUUUUUUCACAAAUUCAUUCCCAUUGUUUCUGGAGAUGCCAAUUAUCAUGCCCAUGAUAAUUUCAGUUAUGAUGGAGUCAUGGAUUCGUGACAACAAAUUGAAAGGAGGUGUUAGUGUAAACAACUUUGUGCCGUGGCCUCGGGGCCGACGUGGCUUGUUUCGGGGCCGAAUGGCGGGGAUCUUUGCUCGAGGUCUCUCGGGAUUGCUGGGGUGACCGGGCGCGUGGACCGGAUCACGUCUGGGUUCGUCGGGAUGUCCCGUGGGGAAGGCGUCCUCUCCUUGCGUCCCGGGGAAAUAGCUCUGUCUCCUUACCUGCACACAGGUCGGGUCGGAAGCUCGGCCCGACCCCUCCNNNNNNNNNNNNNNNNNNNNNNNNNNNNNNNNNNNNNNNNNNNNNGGUCUCGGGGAGCAUGGAGCCGAGGAGCACGGCGCAGGCGGGUUGGCCGCGCAGGUGUGGUCUCGAGCAACAUGCGGCCGAGGAGCACGACGCAGGCGGGCAGGCCCCGCAGGUGUGGUCUCGGGCAACACGUGGCCGAGGAGCACGGCGCAGGUAGGCUGUGGCCCAGGGGUAUGGCUCAGGCGGGCAGGCCGCGCAGGCGUGGUCUCGGGUGAUAUGAGGAGCACAAAGCAGGCGGGUUACGGCCGAGGGGUAUGGCUCAGGUGGGCAGGCCGCGCAGGCAUGGACUCGGGCAGUCUGCGGUCGAGGAGCACGGCGCAGGCGAGCUUCGCUCGGAAGAGACUGAGGUGGGGCCUAGAUUUCUUUUCACGAGGACUACAUCGGAUAGCCACCGCGGGUGCUUGACCUCUUCUAUGGAGCCCGCUGCCAAAAGUCGUCCCUUCUCACAGCUACCCAGGCCUCCGUCGCGAUGUACUGUUAGCCCGCUGGAGCAUAUCUGGUACCGUGGUGGGGGGUCGCUCCAUGAGGGACCAGAGGAAUCUGGAAGGUCGCAUGCCUAUCAUAAACGCCUUUGGUUGAGUCCGAGGAGCAGUGCAACGAACGGCUUUUGCCGGGCGUAGGCCAAGAAGUUAAGCUCGAAGUCUUUGACGAGCUGAUCAAAGGAGGCGAUCAUCCCGGUCUUCAGACCGCUGUACUAUGUACGGGCUGGCCCCCUCAGAGUCGUGGGAAGCGCCCUGCACAUCAAAGCGUCAGAGGUUCCAUAUAGCGCCAUUUGGGCACGGAAAGCGGCUACGUGGUCUGCUGGGUCAGUGGCGCCGUCAUAUGCGUCCAGAGAGGGGAGCCGAAAGUUCGGGGGGACUGUCUGAUCUUGUAUCUCGGGCGCGAACGGAGACCCUUGGUGUGCGUCCUCCCCGAGCUCUCCCUUUGACUUGCGAACCUCCUUCUCCACUUCGUCGAGCCGCUGACUGACAAAGCGUAGCUGGGCUCGCAGGGAGUCCGUUGAAUCCGAAGAUAAUGCCUCGGGUUCCGGGCGACCGCUCGGGUUUGCCAUCACUUGAUCCCCGAGUGGGGCCGAUCGGACCCGAGGCGAAGUGGGGAGCUCCGGAAGUGGCGUGUGGGCCCGAACGGGCGGCUCCUGUUGCUGCAGUGGUUGGAUCGCAAGCGGGUGCGCCGGAUGAGAAAUGAGCGGGAUAAUGGUUUGCACCAUACCCGUCAGAGCUCGGACUUGAUGAGCGAGGUCCUGAAAGGCCUCGGAUUACACGGGCGACGGGUCAGCUAGGGCUCCUUUGGGCGGCGACCAACCCUGGUCGUUGAAUAACCGCCAAUGGCGCUCUGAGGUCACGGCGGGGUGCUCAGCUCGAGGUUCUUCACGCGGGGGGUGUUCCCUCGGAGCUCCGAUCUGGUGUGACCCCUCAGCCGCGAGCUCGUCUGAGUCGAUUGGGCGAUCCCUUGACAUUCGAGCCCUCCUUCUAGCGCCAAAAUGUUAGUGUAAACAACUUUGUGCCGUGGCCUCGGGGCCGACGUGGCUUGUUUCGGGGCCGAAUGAUGGGGAUCUUUGCUCGAGGUCUCUCGGGAUUGCUAGGGUGACCGGGCGUGCGGACCGGAUCACGUCUGGGUUCGUCGGGAUAUCCCGUGGGGAAGGCGUCCUCUCCUUGCAUCCCGAGGAAAUAGCUCCGUCUCCUUACCUGCACACAGGUCGGGUCAGAAGCUCGGCCCGACCCCUCCNNNNNNNNNNNNNNNNNNNNAUCCGGGAUGGCUGACGUCUGCACGAGUCUUGUCACCAUUUAUUAUCCUCAUCAGGAGGUCAUAAUCAUUUCGGUUCUGAUUGAUGAUCAAGUUUGAUUUGCCACCAUGAUAGUUUCAGUUGGUUGAAUGUCGAAAAUGGAGCGACUAGUGAAAAACAAAAAGAUGCUUUGGGAAAAAACUAUUCGUGAAAAGUCCAGCUGCCUCAUAACAACAUCUUAUUUUCUUGAUAAAAGGCUCCUCAUAGUCAAAUCAAAACAAUAGAUGGUCAAUCUGAAUAUGAAAUCUUCUACUCAAAUUCGCAACUUGUGGGUCUUGUACUCCUAUCAAGUUUAGGAACUAAAUUACAUGCCACAAGAGGAGGGAGACAGUGAUUGUCAAGUAGGUGAGCUGGUGGCAAUGCAUUCGCAACCAUCCACUUUGGGAACAAGAUGAAUUUAAGAGCCAAUUUAGAGUGUUAACAUAACAACCCAAUGUAAUCCCAUACGUAACAGGAGAAUUAAGUUGAUUUAUAGACUAUGAGUGUUUAUUAUCAUUAACUCGGACUUCAAAUAUUUUGGUUAAUGAUAUAUGCCUAUCAAGUAGCCAUUACACUUAAUUUACGUAUUUUAGGUAGGUCAGAUCAUAACAAACAAAAUUUUACAAAGGAUCAACGGUGAAAAUAAGAUUGGAUGUCAGCUAGUUUAGUCGGUAAAGACUUUAUCUGUUGAUAAUAAAUUUUGAAUCCCGUCUUCACUACUCAUUCUUAGUGAAAAAAAAAAAUCCCAAAACCUUAUAAUGUAUCGAUAAAGUCCUUAUAUAAGAGAAUUGGUGAUAUGAUAUUUGUUCAAAGAGAAUAGUGAAGGACAAAUUUAAAACAAAUUUUCAAUUAAUUCCUACUAAUCGUAUGCCUACACUGAGAUUGUUUUUCCCUUUAUUUACAUUUUCAAAUAGGUUUUUUGUCCUUUAUUUUUCUUAAUCUAUUUAAGGUAGUCCCUGUAGUUUUCUCUUUUUUAGGUCUUUCAUGCUUGAGAUGAACUUUCUUUUACCAAUUAAAAGAAACAUAAAAGAAAAGAAAUAGAUGGUUAUAUAGAUUGACAAAAAUAAAAGCCCCUUUUGAGGGGAGAGAAAAGCAAGAAAAGCUCACCGCGAGCUCUCCGGCGUUGAAGAGGCUGUCAUAGGAGCGGUGGCGUGUGGUGACGAGAACCGCCGCAAAUUGGCUCGCCGUCACCAUCACCAUCAAUGAACACCCGGCAGAGGUGGCUGAUGGACUCUGAACUGCCUCCUCAGGCGGAGGUGCUCCCUGAGCACCGCCAUCACCUCCGACUCCUUCCGGAACACCGCCGCGAACUCCUGAAGCCGCAGGAUCUGGAGGUGGCAUAUCGACGGGAACGUCACGCAGACCACAAUGAAGCGGCGCGGUAGAUCCACGACGCCAGCUCCAGCGCGCAGGCGACGCACCCGGUGGCCACGGGGUUCCCCAGUAAAGAGCGUACCAACAGAGGUUGCAGGCGACCUCGGCGGGAUGCAAGACAAAAAGAGGAGAUGAAUGAAUUGGAGAUACGAAAGAGGAAAUCAACGGAUUAAGAGUCGAGAGAGGGAAAGCAUUAACAAACAACACAGAGGGCAGCAGAAGAGACAAAAAAGAGUGUAGCGUUGAGGCGGCCAGAUGGAUGGCAGUCACGUGACCGGGACUGAGGUGGCAGAGACGUGUGAGAUGGCGUGGAGCACAAUUUUUAAUUAAAACUAAGUUUAUUAAAAUUAAAUGGACGAUUACCUUUAAAAAAUUAAAUGAUGUAGUCAGAAUCAUUUUCUUAAAAAUGAUUAUCCCCCUCAACCAUAUCCCCCUCGAGGAUCGCUCGGCCUUGCGAGGGGUAUUUUAUGUCCCCCUCGAGGGCCGCUCGUACAUGUUAUAUUUAUGGUUGUUGAUCCGACUUUUGCGGGGUGGCACUGUGCUCGAGCAGUGCUGUCCCAACUUUUACGGGGCGGCACUGUGCUCCAACGGUGUCGUCCCGACUUUUACAGGGAGGCACUAUGCUCGAACGGUACCGUCCUGACUUUUGCGGGGCGGCAUUGUGCUCGGGCUGACGUGUCUGCAAUGGUCGAAGGACAGAUUACCAAAAUAUGCCCUAUCAGUAUCCAUAUAUUUUAAUGAAAUUUAAGAGUAAAAGAGAUUAAAUUGGUAUUUCAUAUAAAUUUUUAAUUAAAUAUAUAAUAGUAAAAUUUAUAAUUAAAUAGACAUUUUGUAUAAAUUUGACAGCAGAGGUGAAAGUAAUUUAUUUUUAAUUAGUUUCACACCUUUAGCGAUCCAAUAACUAUAAAUCGAUCCAAUAUAAUUUAUUAUAUUUAUAGAAGCGGCAAAGUUUCCAAAGAAAUACAUGCAUGCAUACAUACAUACAUACAUGUUACGAUGGUUUACUUAGUUGGACAUACAUUUCCAACCCAUACUACGACAUGAACCGGAGGGAAUCGGACUAGAUCGGGAAGCUGCGGAGGACGACCGUCUCCACGGAGAUGCCCGGGCCGAAGCCGAAGAGCACCCCCCACUGGCAGCCCUGUCCGGUGGUGGCGUGGCCCUCCACCGCCGAUCGCUUCCGCAUCUCGUCCAUGAUGAACAGCACCGACGCGCUCUGCAUGUUCCCGUGCUCACUAAGCACGUGCCUCGUCGGCGCCAGCUUCCCCGCCGCCAGCCCCGCAUUGGCCUCCACCUGGUCGAUGAUGGCCCGUCCGCCCGUGUGCACGAUCCAGAACAGCUCGUUCCAGUCCGUGAUGCCCAUCGGCGCGAACGCCGCCUGCAGGCACCGCACGAUGUUGCUGCCGACGAUGAAGGGGACCUUCUUCGCGAGGUGGAAGGUCAGGCCGAUCUCCCUCAGGUGCCCCGCCACCAUCUCCUCGCUCUCCGGCACCAUCACUUGCGACGCCGAGCUGAUCUCGUAGAUGGGCUUCUCAACCCCCUCGACCGGGUCAGCGCCGACGAUAAGCGCCGCCGAGCCGUCGCCGAAAAGGGCCUGGCCGAUGAGGUUCUCGAAGUGGUCGUCGUCGGGGCCACGGAAGAACAUGACGUUCACUUCGGAGGAGACCACCAACGCGCGGGCGCCCUUGUUGUUCUCGACGAGGUCCUUGGCCAACCGGAGCGCCGAGGCGCCGGCGUGGCAGCCCACGUUGUAGAGCAUCACGCGGCGGACGGAGGUGGGGAGGCCGAGCUUCUGGACCAGGCGGUAGUCGACGCCCGGGAGGUCCAACCCGGCGGCGGAGCAGAAGACCAGAUGUGUGAUGUCGGACGUGGGGCGACCCCACUCCUUGAUGGCCUUCUCGGCCGACUCCGCCGCCAUCUUUGGCACUGCCUCCAGCACCACCUUCUGCCGCGCGUCGAACGACGGCUGCUCCAUGUAGCCGCACAGAUUGGGGUUCCCCUUGAGGAUCUCCUCCGUCAGGGACAUGUGCCGCUUCCUGAUGGCCGAAUUCUCACCUGCAACCCCAUUCGACAAAUGAUCAGUCUCCUUCUUCCGACAUGUUAGUAGAGACAAGGAAGAAGAAGCUUCUUACAUAUCCGCUUAAACUUCUCUUUGAGCUCCGUCUUGUCCUCUGCGUUGGUGAUUCGGAAGAAGAAGUCAGGAUAUUCCAUCUGAUCCACGAAAUGUGCAGGAUUGGCGGUGCCGAUGGCCAGGACCGUAGCCGGGCCGUCGGCGCCCUGCGCCCUCGGGAAGGCGUUGAUGUGUGCCAUCUUUGGGGAUGGAUUGGAUCCGCUGAAUGGUCACUGCGUAUCGCCUGAAGAAGGAUGUCGAUGAAGGGGCGAAGGAUGGCGAAUCCUCCCACAACAUAUAUAUACACAUACAUCCACACAUCUAUCUACAGAACACUGCAUAUAGUCAGCUAACUGGAAUUCCGAGGGAGGAACAAAAGGCCUGCUUAUGUGAGAAGCGUGGAGAUUUGACCAGGUAACAUGGUAGGUAGGUCAUGUUGUCUUUCCAUGGCCGAAGCAGCCAUCGAUCACCUACCAACGCACUGCUGCAUGUCGAAGGAUAAGAUAGUCUCGAUAGGUCGUCAUGGUUGAUUGGCACGCCGUUGAAAAGUCGUAAGUUCACAGUAAUGAAACCGGAAACUCCAAACUGUCAACAAAUUUCAAUCACUGUAGCUUCCAAUCGAUGCAGUAAUAUUCUGCCAGCAGAACAUUAAGAUUGUAAUGUUUUUGAGACCUCCAUAAAGGUAUUAUAAAUCUAUUAUAAUUGGAUCGAUCCAAUAUAAAUACCUUAAGAUAUUCUCUGCUGGAAUUGGAACGUGAUUAUAAAAGUAUUCUGCUUCACAUAUCUCAAGAUUAUAUUUUUGGACGAUCGAUUGUCUCAAAAGAAAAAAAAGAAGAGAAAGAAACCUCUAAAGAUUAGUGUUUUUGGUAGAGCGUUCUUCUAUUUAUUUAUCCUCGUAUAGAAUCUUAUUUUGUCUCACAGUAUGAUUUCAUAAGUGCUGCUGUGAAAGUAAUUAUUUGGCAAAUCUUAUGAUUAUUAUUAGCACUAGGAUUUGUUUUCCUCUACCCAUCCCAUCGUGUCGACGGAAGAAGUCAUUCCUCGACGUUUGCAUCCGACGAUAGCAACACUCGGCUACAAAUUUGUAUUCUAUUAAACUCGUGCGAGUUUGACUAUUUUGAUCUGACGUGAAAGGAAAUUAUUUUAGUGAUAUUGUAAUUUAGAAUUCGAAUGCCGGAUGAUUGCAAGCAUUGACCGCAUGACUUGUUUGGUGCGUAAAUCGGCGAGGAUAUGCAUCUCUCUAUUCGUCGUUCCUGUGUUUUUUAGGCUUAACGUUCCGAAGUUGGCGACCGGGGAGUUUGGUGAAGCUCGCAGCUCCACCAACCCACCCUUGUGCUGCACAAAAUUCCAAUAUGUCGUCUGUGCCGGUCAUCAUCAGGCAGCCGUCGAGUGAAUCGAUCUGACUCAAUAAGGACAAGCCAAAGCAGCGGAUGACCAACGGCACUUGGAGUGUGUUGAAUGCAUGAGUUCGGUCGAUCAGAGGCGUACAAGAAUGGGGAUGUAUGUAUCGAUGAACCGGGUCGAUGGUAGGUGAGUUCGAUGCGUUCUCUUAUGAUGCGACGUUUCUGUCUCUUCCACGAUCGAAGAGCAGGAUCAGGGUGCAUGGUGGUCGAGGGAGCCGCUAUAAAAGCCGCCCGAGGACGUGCUCUCUGGGUUUCGCACCAGGGGACCUGCGGGAUCAUGGACGCCAUCGAGGCCGAGCUGGGGUCGAGGCAUGUGUUCAGUGAUGGGCACCACCUUUCUGUUUGUCAUGGACGACGUCGGGAAGCGGUCGACGGUCGAGGAGCGGAUGACCACCGGCGACGGGCUCAGUAAAGAUACUGAUAACAGUCAAAAUCUCCCCAUUACAUAUGAGAUAUCGUAAAUCUUUUGAGAAAAAUCUUCAAGAGCAAAAUUCUCUCUUCCAAAUGUGUAUAAAUAUAGAGUAUUGUGUAUUGUUUCAAUCAAUACAAUCUUAUUCUUUUUAUUUUAUUUCUAUCAUGAUAUCAGAGCGACAUCGCUAUUAGAUGUGGCAUUUUUCCUUAGCGAAAGGUGACAGCAACAGCGGCAUCUUCCUCUAUUGAACUCUUAUUAUUGCAACGUUUUCCACGGACGUCCUCCAGGAUCGUUGCAUCGACCUCCUUCGAAGCUGAACAAGGGCCACCACGCUGUGCCCUCUUCUCCUCCCUGCGUCGCGAUAUUCUUUACUACCGCCCUUCCUCUGCCUCUUCCUGUAGAAGCAGAACCGACUCCCUCUCUGCUGUAGCCACAACAUCCCUCUUUACCACAACAACCGUAACAACUACAACAACAGUGAUAUGCUCUUCUCCCAAGUUGUUGUCCCCUGCUCUACCUUCUUCACCUCGACAAGCAGUAUUCGAAACUAUUUCCAAGUUCUCAAUUGCAGAACUACUGUACAGAGACUAUAACACUGGUGCACAAAGAUCUGCAGCUUUAUACAAUAUUGAUCAUUGUUAAUAUUGAUCAACAACCCACAACCCAUUUGUCACCAUAACCCACAACCCAUUUGUCACCAUAACCCACAACCCAUUUGCCACCAACACCUCUUCCUUCCAGAUUAUUGUCAUUGAUGCAGACUUCUAGUCUAUGUCGAUGGCUCUUUUUGUUGUUCACCGACGAUGCUCAACAUCCCAGACGCACCCAAUCCAGAUUAUUGUCAUUGCUGCAGACUUCUAGUCUAUGUCGAUAACUUGGCCUUGAUAGAGAAGUUACUGUUCAUAUCCUCAACGGAUGAAAAAAUUUUCUUCAAAGGAUUUUCUACGAUAGAUUUAUGAUAGAUUUGUUGAGGUUGUUAUCGUGGGAGAUCUUCUUCUUUCUUUUUUAUUUCUAUCAUAUAUAAAGAAUAAACAAAGAACAAACACCACUAAUGUCAAGUGAAAUUUUCGACAAAGUUUCUUCGACGUUGAAGCUAGUAAAUAAUAAUUGAUCUUGAUUAUAGUGGUCUGUCUUACACACAUAACCUGAGAGAAUAUUAUCCACGUAUGGUAUGGAUAUAAAGAUCAAACAUGCAACAACGAUCCGACAAGUAGGUAAAUGAACUAAACAUACUACUGAUACACACUCAAUAGGAAUGCCACACGACGACCGGUAAAGGAGGUCCGAGCAGAGGAAGAGGAAGGAUGAGGAGGAGUGAACUUACUUAGUUUCUUACCAUGGCGACCACGACGUUGCCCACCUCGGGUUUGUUUGCGGAAUAGUAACUCUCCAGUAGUUUGCCGUACCGGAAGAAGAGCUCAUCGAGAAUGCCCUCUCCGAAGUGGCCCUUCAGCAUCGAUUCCAGCACAGCCCUGACUCCCAUGGCCAUGCGUCGAGCGUAGCUCUUUCUCCGUUCAUGCACCGCGCCGUUCUCUCGGUCAAUGGUGUCGUGCUGGUCUUCACCACCGGAAUGGUGAUCGGCCACGGCGUCCCAGCCCGCUUCGAAGUGUUCUAUGGUUGUGAUCGAGAAGGACCCUUCUUCUUCGACCACCUGCUUCAGCUCCUCCAAGGAUGGAGCGUAGAAGGGGGCAUUGAAGGUGUCUAUCUUCUCCGUCGCAACCAGGCCCUGUCGUGCACGAGACAAGUGAGAUCUUGAGCUUUCAUUUUGGAGCUAAACAACAAGCUUAGUCAAUUCAUGUCAGUUCGAAAUUAAACUUGCCUCAAUUCAUUUCCAAUAAUUUUGGAGCAUUAAGAUUUGAAAAGGCAUGCUUUUAAGAUAUAACGUUCAUGAAAAAUAACAAAAGAGGAUUGAGAAAUACUUCAAAAAACAUUCGACGGUAUGAAUAAAAUAAAAAAUAUAUAUAUUUAGAAGCUUUACUAGUUAUAGUUAAAUUGGAAAUAUUACAACGACGAAGUAUUUUUUAGAUCUAUUUAUGGUUAUUUGACAAAAAAAUAUUUUUUCUUAUGAACAAAUGAGAAAGAAUUGCUACAAUAGAUAACAUUUAGACGUGUAUUAUGUUUCACAAUAAGAAAAAUAACACAUUGAAUCUAAAUCAAUUAUUUUUUUAAAAAAGUUAUGAUAUAGAAAUGAAUCGCACGGCUUUUUAAAUUCAUGACAAGAAUAUAAUACUAAUUUCGCUUGUGAAAAAUAGCUUAAAACAUAAUCUCUUUUGUGCAUAUAUGCAUUGAUCAAUCAAAUAAUGUUAAAGUUAUUAUCGAGGAUAAUUUUGUAUUAUGACAUCAUAUAUAUAUAUACUUAUUAAAACUUUUGUAAAAUCAUAAUAUAGUGAUAGGAUUGUCAAGCACUGAUCAUCCAACUAAUUAAUUUGAAAUACGUGUGAAAACAAGCCUUCGAAUUAACCAGAAAAAAAUAAAUCACCAAGAUUUUGGUGAUCCUAUAGUGCUAGAGAAUUGGGAUGGACACUGGAUUAACUCAGUAGAACAUUCUAAUUUUUUAUAGUUUAUUAUUCUCAUAAAAGAUUUGGAUUAUACUUUGUGAAUGUGGUUAAACUUGUGUCAAAUCACGUAAGAACAAUUCUCCACGUAUUGUUUCUUUGGUCUAUAUGUCAUUCUAGCCACAUCUCUUACAUAACAAUAACAAUGUGGAGUUAGAUUUGUAAUGGGUCAUAAGAUGUUUUUACAAGGAAAUAAAAUUAGGAUAAGUAUUCCAUGACUUAGUCAAGUUUAUUUUUCGAAAUAUUAAUGUAUGUGUUCGAAAUUGAUAAAUGCGUAUGAUUUAUAUGAAUUAUAAAUUAUUUUAUUAUUUUAAAAAUAUUUUGAAAAUAAAUUACAUGUUAACGAUUUGAAAAAGCGUAUGAUUUAUUUAUGUUUUCUAAUUCAUAUGAAAAUGUAUGUUCAACCAUUAUAUUUGAAAAGGAUUGAAAAAUAUAUGAAUAUUAUUAGUUUUAGAUGAUAUACAUUUUGAAAUGAUAUACAAAAAUAUUUAUUAAAAAAUAAUUUUGUAAAAAAAUUAUUGAUAUAUUAUUUUUAAUAGCAUGAUAGUCGUUUAGUAAGUAUGGCUAUAAUCUAAACCCUACCAAUGGGAGUUAUGCAUUGGAAUAUAUUUCAAAAACUAAUUUGUUAUGAGCCCAAGAUAUAUGUGUUAUCUACACCAUUAAGGUUAAAAAUGUAUGUAUGUUGUUCUAAAAAGUAUUGAAGUAUUAUUUUAUGUUAGCAUGUAAAGUAUAAAUAAUCGACAUGGAUGCAUAUUUCAAAAACAUGUGUUGAGUGCAUAAAGGAUUUAUGUGUUUAAAAAAAAUGUUUUAUCUAUAAUAAGUUUUGUGAGUUAUAUAUGUUUAUGAUUUGCUCAUAAAUUAUAAAGAUCCUAAGGGGUAAAUCAAUUAUUGGUUGAUUUAUAUGAUAAAAUAUUAUAUAUAUAUAUAUAUAUAUAAUAUUUAUUCUGAUUUUGACCCAAACUUUCUUAAUACUGUAACGUACAAAGUCGUUUCUCAUCACCCCACCCCACCCCACCCCACAGUGACGGUAGACUUAGAUGGCACAAAGGACGAUGUGAUGCCAUCAGGGACGCUGUUAACAUGAGAGAAAGAGAGAGAGAGAUAAGUGGCGUCUGUGUGUUGGAGAUGGAGAUAAGCUUCAACUAAGUCGAGAAGUGGCGUGUGUGUGUUGGAGAUGGAGAUAAGCUUUAACUAAGUCGUCUUACUUUUCCUGUUCAUCGACCAGUAUAAUUUGGACGGCUUGUCUAAUCGGUGAGUUAAUGAGUUACGGUGAUGGAUUAAUUGCCUACUGGUAAUGGCGAGAGAGACUAGGGCGAAAAGAAGCAGUGAAGAAGAUUACCUCCGAGGCCAUGUCAUUGAGUGCCUCCGCGAGGAGCUCCCACAGGUGGCAGUCCUCCGGCAUCCCGAGGUCUGGGCUUCUCCUGUCCAUCAACGCCAGCACCAUGCGGCCUCCACCGACUAUUUCUUCGGAACGACACCGGAGAAAUAGCCUGAGAUCUCUCCGGAAUUGCUUCAGAUAUGCAUUCAAGACGGCCCAAGGACUCGUCUUGGAGAUGUACACCUUCCCUUUGUUCAGACACGAGACGGGAGAUCCGUUCUGGAGUUCCUCAGGAACCUGCAAGCAAAAGUCAACGAUUACCACUGCCAUGGACCUACAGAUCUGGGAUCGGGACUUGGCAUGCUGAUUGAUUCCUGGAACGUGGUACGUUAGCCAAGGAAGCAUGUCCCACCUGAGACAGCCAGUGAAGGCUCGACGAGGAAUGCACGAAUUGCAAGCUCUUUCCGGGGAACAGCCGGCCGUAGAACGACCCGGGCACUGCCGAGAAGAAACAGCGCCCGCAGUCUGGGAGCCGCUCCCUCGCCCGGUAGAACUCGGGCAACGAUCGGAACACGGUGUUGAAGUCGUUCCAGUAUAGGUCGUUGAGGAGCACGUGGAAGUCCGGCGGGGGGGACUGUAGCUGAAGGCAGCUUCUCUCGAUGGCCUCCAUGAUGUCGGCAACCACCAGCAGCGCGUUGGGACCCGAGGAGCAGCCCAAGUCGGCAAUGCUCAUGGUCCCGGAGGAGGCAGCAGCGCAGAGAUAGGCUUCUACCACCGCUUCCCGUCGUAUGUCCUUGGUUCUCGAUAUGAUGACGCCCUACGCAGACGCACCGAAUCCAUGGAGAGAGAGAGAGAGAGAGAGAGAGAGUUNNNNNNNNNNNNNNNNNNNNNNNNNNNNNNNNNNNNNNNNNNNNNNNNNNNNNNNNNNNNNNNNNNNNNNNNNNNNNNNNNNNNNNNNNNNNNNNNNNNNNNNNNNNNNNNNNNNNNNNNNNNNNNNNNNNNNNNNNNNNNNNNNNNNNNNNNNNNNNNNNNNNNNNNNNNNNNNNNNNNNNNNNNNNNNNNNNNNNNNNNNNNNNNNNNNNNNNNNNNNNNNNNNNNNNNNNNNNNNNNNNNNNNNNNNNNNNNNNNNNNNNNNNNNNNNNNNNNNNNNNNNNNNNNNNNNNNNNNNNNNNNNNNNNNNNNNNNNNNNNNNNNNNNNNNNNNNNNNNNNNNNNNNNNNNNNNNNNNNNNNNNNNNNNNNNNNNNNNNNNNNNNNNNNNNNNNNNNNNNNNNNNNNNNNNNNNNNNNNNNNNNNNNNNNNNNNNNNNNNNNNNNNNNNNNNNNNNNNNNNNNNNNNNNNNNNNNNNNNNNNNNNNNNNNNNNNNNNNNNNNNNNNNNNNNNNNNNNNNNNNNNNNNNNNNNNNNNNNNNNNNNNNNNNNNNNNNNNNNNNNNNNNNNNNNNNNNNNNNNNNNNNNNNNNNNNNNNNNNNNNNNNNNNNNNNNNNNNNNNNNNNNNNNNNNNNNNNNNNNNNNNNNNNNNNNNNNNNNNNNNNNNNNNNNNNNNNNNNNNNNNNNNNNNNNNNNNNNNNNNNNNNNNNNNNNNNNNNNNNNNNNNNNNNNNNNNNNNNNNNNNNNNNNNNNNNNNNNNNNNNNNNNNNNNNNNNNNNNNNNNNNNNNNNNNNNNNNNNNNNNNNNNNNNNNNNNNNNNNNNNNNNNNNNNNNNNNNNNNNNNNNNNNNNNNNNNNNNNNNNNNNNNNNNNNNNNNNNNNNNNNNNNNNNNNNNNNNNNNNNNNNNNNNNNNNNNNNNNNNNNNNNNNNNNNNNNNNGAGAGAGAGAGAGAGAGAGAGAGAGAGUUGUCCGGCGAAGGAAGAAGAGAUCGACAUGGAAGACUCACCUGGAUCUUGGAGUUGUUGGCGUAGCUGGAUUCGCCGGCUCCGCUGUUCAUGCGCAUGACUCUCUGCAGCUCCAUGAGGUCUACAGCUCGUCCUCGAUGAUGCUAAACGAUGGUUGCGAUAUGGAACAGAGAGUUGAGGCCGCUACCUGUUUGUUGAUUUGCCACAACAAAAUGUGUACCAUUUUACGUGCCAGGGGACGCACACACAUGUGCUACACAUGUCACCGAAAUAUUAUUAGUCAUACUGGGUCCCACGUUAUGAAUUAACAUGUACGGAUGUCGGCCGGACCGCAGGGGCCCAGAGGCUACUGGUCCGUGAUUUCUGCCACGUGUUCUACGGAAGCAAAGUCGGCCGUCGGAUGACAACCGCAUCAUGCGGUGCCGCCCGUGACUGAUUUGCCUGUCCUGGAAAUGGCAUCAUUUGCGUAGUAAAUCAAAUAUCCAUUAAAUUAUUUUUUUAGCCCCAGUAAAUCAAAUAAAUGAUAGUGUUUCUAAACAGAAGGAAUGGGAUUUAUGUUCGGUAACCGAAGAUAAUGUAAUUUAAUUUAAUUUAAUUAUUUUUUUGAAGAAUACUGUAAUUGAAUAUGACGUCUCACCUUUUUCUUAUUAUCAUAUUUCGUAAUAAAUGAACAUCAAUAUUAUAAUAUCUUUACGAUCGAUCAACACAAAUGAGUGAGCAAAUGACAAAGAUGUCGCUCUCUAUCUAACUAAUCGUGAUUCCAAGAACCCAAGAACAAAUAACAAAGAAAACGCUAUUAUGACUCCACGGAAAAGCAAACCUAAAACAAAACAAUAUUACCAUGCCAAGAAUCAUCGAUGAUGAUGUGAAGAAGAAGAAGAAGAAGAAGAAGAAUGAUCUGUGAGUUUUUUGUUUUUGAGGAGAUGAUGGUUUCUAAGGAAGAAAGCUCUUUAUUGGUAAUCCUUUUUCUUAUCGGUAAUCUUUUACUAUUGACGAUCAUUAAAUAUAUAUAUAUAUAUAUAUAUAUAUAUAUAUAUAUAUAUAUAUAUAUAUAUAUAUAUAUAUAUAUAUAUAUAUAUAUAUUACAAUCUCUUAUUUCAUCCAUCAAAAUCUUAAUUGAUGUCAAAAUUUGACAUUGCUCGACAAAGAGAAAGACUUUUGAGUCAAAAUUUGACAUUGCUCGAUAAAGAGAGACUUUUGAGCACAAGCUCAACGCUCAACGACUCGAUAUAAAUAGAUAAAGACUCCGAUUCAAAUGGAUGCUUUAUAUAUUUUAAAAUACUAUACUAUACUAUAUGAUGAUGAAACACUUGAUAUAUUUUAAAAUAAUUUUAAUGGAUGCUUCAAAUGAUGAAAUGAUAUGGUUAUACCAUCAAACUGCAGUAGCUACUAAACUGAAGCAUAAUCUCAACCCACAUCGUACCACAUUUUAAGACCAGUGUGUUUUUAACAGAGAUCGAAUUAGUGGGAGCAAUACUAGGAAAAUAAGCUUAAUAGGUCACACACACAAAAGGUGCUCAAAGGUGGAUAACCAUGAAUGAAACAUCUUGCAAAACAAAAUGCAAGUGCUACUUAUCGAUUCCAACAAAAGGUUCAUUUGGAAACACACUCGAUCAGGGAUCAAGACCGAGGCUUCUCCUUCUUUUCCUUGAAGAGUGCCAAAAGGGACACACCAGAAACCUUCACAACCUUGAACCUUACUCCAGGAAUAUCCCCCACCGCGUGGCCCUUUCGUCCGAAACCAGCUAUCAAGACUUCAUCCUGCAAAAGCAAUGCAGCUCCAUGACAUGCUUCUGCAAUUGAUGAUGCAAGCACUGUAAUCUUAGAAGUAGCUCCUGAUACAGGAGGUCUCGUGCUGUGCUGAGCAUACACGCAGACAGCAAGCACUGUGAUUAAUGCCUGCUUGGCACGACACUCUUGCGAUGCUAAUGCUAGUGCCGACCGGUGCAUACUGGUUGGUGUGGGCAAUCGCAGAUUAAUUCUUUGCUAACGAGUGCAUUAGAUUAUUCUACUGGAGUGUUCAAUGGCAUAUAGAAAUGUCUAGAUGAACCGAACCACAAAACUUACAUUCUCUUCUAUGAAGUUUAAGCAACCAUCGUUUGGAACAAAGGCUGCGAUCUUCUUCCCGUUCUUUAUCAAUUGCACUCUAGCACACUUUCGGAUAGCAGAGUUGGGCUGCUUGGCUUCGAUACCUCUGCAAAAAGGCAAUGGGGUGUGAGUGCUCCCGACUUGAUCGACAUCAAGAUACAACAAAAAUAUCAACAACUAGCAUCAUUAUCUUACAUCUUCUCGAGAACGAUACCCUUGGCAUGCGAAGAACCAGCAAAGGGCUUCUUCCACUCAUUGCCGAGAUGACUUUUCUUGUAUGCUUUGUCUGCCCAUCUUUGCCUCCUCCUAUGGGUUUUGAGCUUGCGCCCAGCUCCCAUACCACGAGUCUUUCUGUCAUAGACCUUAUAUUUAUGAAAACCCAUUCAUCUUUCGAUGAACAGACGAUACAACUCGGUUUUCGCCACUUAUCAUCUUUUUUAACAAAUCCAAACUCCAGCCAUAAGAAAAUCGAAAAUAUGCAAGCAUGUUUAGAAGCAGCCUUACCAUUUCCCCCUUCUACAAACUAUAUCUCAUGAUCAAACUCCAAACCAGAAGAGCAUUAUGAUUAUACACAAGGCUACCAGUCCUCUUAAUCAAUUUCAGUUGGAAGUGGCUGAAAAAAUUUGCUAAUCCAUAAUCGUGUGGAUAAAAUAUUUUUAUCAUUAUUACAAGCAAAUGUUCCCAACCAAUUUUUUUUUUUUUUUUUGACUGUGGUCAGAUGGUUAGCAUUCAAUCAUUCAUCAUUAGACAUCACAUGACUGUGCAUCAUAAAAUAAUGUGAGUGAUAAUCUUUAGCCAUUAAUUUGCAGAUCGAAAAGGUUUGCUCGUAUAUUAAGGAGUGACAUUUACAAAAUGCAAACAUAGAAAUCUUUAGAUUAUCAUUUGAGCACCCAGGAAAAGUGUAACUUUGAACAAGAUCGUCUCAAUUUGUUUCAUUAUCUUCCCCGAUAAUCUUAACCCGUCCAGCUCAUGAUUAACAGUUUAAAAGAUGGCCUUUUACUACCUAAAGAAACACAAAUAACGCAUCGAUGUUCAAAAACACAAGGAUUGCUCCAUUCUCCACAAAAACGAAGAUAUCCGUCCACCAAAAAGAGGGGGAAGGUGAUACAAUCAAGAACGAUCAGAUCGAGUCGCUAACGAAACAUGACACAAUCCAAGCGACGGACGGACGGUGCAAACGUAGCGUCGCUAGAGAGCAGGAGCACGAAAUAUAGGAUCGAGUUCUCGCGGAGACUCACCCCAUCUUGUCGUAAUCCGAAGCUCCCCUUCCUUGCCGUGCCUCUCGGUGUCGCGGGGGAGGUCGAGGAUGCAAGAGCGGCGGAAAGUCAGAGAAGAAACCCUAUCGGACCCGUAAUAUAUAUAUAUAUAUAUAUAUAUAUAGGCGAGGGUGAGACAGCCAGAUUUGACCAAUGGGCCGGCCCAAUAUGCUCUUAGAGCCAAUUCAGGGAUCGAGUUGAGCUGGCCCGAGCGGGACUCGGGCAUGGCCGAUGUAAUCACUGAUACACUGGAGUACGCAUCUGCAUUUGUGUUUUCUAUUAUUUUGUUCUUGUCGUUCAUCCCUAUUAUUUCAAUAUUUCUUUUAUGGGUGUUGAAAUCUUAUACGAUGUAUAUAUACUGAUAGAACAUAUUCUGGAUCCCAGCCACGUCAUGACCCAUGCCACGUCACGCCCUCGUCGAGUCAGCAUAAAGGCUGACUUCUUGUGUCGAACGGAAGCCGGAGGCGCCCCGUCGCAAGCCUUGUUCCGGAAAACUCGGGACGACACCAUUCCAUGCAUACUAGGCUGGAUUGGUCGUCACACCAAAUCCAUGUAUGACCGAUCCUCGGGCAAUAGUAUAAAAGCCCGACACCUAGCCAGGGGAGAGAGAAAAAAAAAAAAAGACAAACAAACCUCUGACUCAAUAUCCGAGGGGCUCAAGCCGAGAAUCUCUCAAACAAGGCCCGUGUGCAGGAAUCCGAACGCGCGAUCGCCCCGACCCUUGAUCUAGCUCAACCUCGACGUUUCCCCGGUAGGUCGAGAGACCCGCCUCCGAACAUCGACCAUGUAGACCAAGCCGUGCUGACUCCCCGGCCAACGCGUAAUUUCAUCAACAUAUACCAUGGCAAUUAGAAGGUGUCACGAUUAACAUUCAUUCGGGCAGCAAAUGAGGCCUCUUUCUUUCAACUCGAUCGACAAAUAACAUUGACAUACACUUCUUUUGGGAGAGUAGGACGGAUAAUUUGAUUCGUCAGCUGAAUAAAUCAUUCUCUUACAAUGAUCAAAUCGGAAUGCUUCACACAAUCUCGCAUUUAUAACGAAAGCUUAGCCUUCGCGGCCGACUCCCUCAUGGCAGUAUAAAGCUCUAAGCACCAAGUCAAAUAUUAUUAUCUAGUUAGAGCCACUAAUGACCCCAAAAUGUAACUUAUCACCUCUCAAUUCUUCAGCUCAGGUAGCAAAAGCCCACCGGUCUGCAUUUGCUUGUACAUCCACUGCCAGUUCUCGGGCCUCACCUCACCGCCGAGAGCUCGGACGACCGCGCCACCGCUGCAAGAUCCCACCUUGCAACAAUCUUCUAGACAAAGUCCUUUCACCAACCCAUACAAGAAACCGCUUGCAAAGAGAUCCCCAGCUCCGGUGGCAUCAACAGCAUGGGUGUCUCCUAUCGCCGGGACCCGAACAACCUAAAACAAUAAAUAUAGCAGUUCAUCUAUAUGCAUCAUUUGGCUACCAUGGUUUUGGUUAACGCCAGAAACAUUUUUGCAGCUUUCUUAGUUUUAGUCAUUGUUUUGCUUUUUGCGAUAGAAAAAAUUGUCAUAAUCUUGAUUAUAAUCAACUCCAUCUCAUCGAUCGAGUUAGCAAGUGAUACCAACCUCAUUUCCAUGCUUUGCUAUGCAACCCCUGGGACCAAGUGUCACCACAGCCCAUUUACAGUGUUUGGCCAAGAAACACAAAGCAGCCUCUGGGUCGACUUUGGGUUCUCGGCUGAAAAGAAAAAAAGAGCAAAAGAUGACAAUUCUCAAAGUCUGCGCAAGAAGGAAGUUCAUGUAAGGUAGAUGUCUCGGCCGUAUGGCUUUGAGAUAUUAAAGUAUCACAAAUUGAGGAGCCAUCAAAUACAGGCUGAACAAUUUAAUUAUUUUUAUACAAAAACCUUGUCAGUUGAUCGAUAAAUAUUCACUGGCAUAUUGUCAAUGUGCUAAAUGAACCAUGCAUCACCUUAGUGAAAACCAUCAUAAAAGACUACACAUCUAUGACAACACAAGUUUGUUUACUUGUAAAGCACCUUCAUAUAACUAAUAAAUGAAAUUUUGUUAUCGCUUUAGUGAAGUUUAUCUACCUGGUCGUCACGUUGAAUUUAGGUCUGAAAAAACAGGCCAUCUAAGCAAGUAAUAUUACCUUAUAAGCUCUUUAGCUUCAUCCUCAUUGGCAAAACAGAGGUCAAUACUCCCGGACUCCAAUAGGUCUAUCAAGUGUGACCUAUAGUCUCGCACCAUCUGGACGUAGGUGGAGAUUAAAAGAAAAAAAAGAGUUCAGACACUUCACUUGGAAAAAUGUUGAGAAAAAAACCAUCUAAAACAAGAUAAAAAUGUUUCACAAGAAACCUCGAAACUCGCAAGGUCCAUGGAAACAGAAACCCCCUCUUGUUUAGCAAUUCUUAUAGCAGCUUUUAUUUGCUCUAAAUUGAUAAAUGCAUAUCUUAGGAUCAACCACUGCAUAAAUAUCAUGAGAAUGUUAGAGAGGGAAGGACAACUUUACUUCAGGGCUAUUAGUCAGUAGUCACUCGAGAAGAAAAAACUACCUUUGCACCUCUCAAAUCUUCCCUCUUCAGUUCAUCAGCCUGAUAGAUAUUUCAGGUGAAAAGUCACAAUAAUUACAUCAAUUCAUCGGACUCAUUUGACCUUAAAAUGGGGAAAAUAACUGGACCCUGCAUACCUGAAGCUUAACUGCACUGGACAGACAGGGCCGCAUGGUUCGGUUGCCAUCAGCAUCCACCAAACAUGCGCACUGCAACAGGCAAGUGAACUACAAUGCAAUCAAUUUGGCAAGGUGAUAACAAAAAAAUUCUGGAAAUCACGUCCAGCUCACCUGCCCAGUAGAUCCGUUCUUCAUUCUCAGUCUGGAAAGAUCCACACCACUAAAGCUCAUGUUAUUGAUGAAUAACCGACCUUGUUCAUCAUCUCCGCAAGCACCAAUUAUUCCACUCGAGACUCCAAAGCCAGCAGCCAUACCGCGAAUGGUAUUGGCGACACUACCUCCAGCUAUGGCUAUUAUCGGAGGGAUUUCGUUAAGGAAAGGGAGGAUGUGUGCUUUGACCUCACUCAAUAUAUGAUUCAAAUCCUCUGCCGCCACCUGCUUGUUAUGAAUAGUUAUAAGCACCGGUUGUUGCAAGAUGAAAUCACAUCACAAGGAUUAAAGGAAAAAAAGAUACCGCCUUUUGCAUGUGCUACCAAAAGCAUUAAAUAAGACUUCUCUUGUAUAUGAAAUCGAACUCUAAAAUCAAAAUACAGAGUGACAAGAUGACGACGGAUCAACCCCAAUUCGAAGAACCACAUAUCGAAGUGACAAAGAUCAAGACUCCAUCCGCACAAUCGGAUACCAUGAACCGAACCACCCAAUAGAAAGGACGAGCGAUCACACUUCACGAGACCAUCUUGCACGAUCAAGUCUUCUUGGGAGAUCGGCCGUCGGAAUCGAAAAUUCAAAAAAGGAAAAAAAAUUAAGCAUAUUUCCUAGAAAGAAAUGCGUAUAAAGGGCGAACGAAUUUUGAUCUUGAAGGACUAGAUUGGUGCUGUGACAGUUCAUAUCGACAUUUCUGUUUUCUUCGAGAGCCGUAAGGAUUAGAGAAGGCGAAUUACGACGAAGAAAAUCUGGGAAAAACGGGAGGGGGGGGGGGACCCGAAUCAUCUGCAAAUCAAAGAGACCGCAGGCGCAUCGAGCGGGAAACCAAAUCGUGCGGACGAACGAAAGGCGAACAAACACCGCAGAAAAAAUAAAUCUUUCGCCCGAGGCACAGUGAAGAACACCUCGUUGACGUUAAAUCCAGAUCCUCACAGGCACAAUUUCAUGGGAGCGUGGGACACGGCGCUAGAACAGAAGAAGCGGAGCGGAAAACACGGUAGCAAUGGUGGUGCGGCCGGGGAUGGAAUACCUGCUGAGAGCCGCCUCGGUCGCCAGGAAUCCGAUCGAGGAGAGACCAAUCGACCCUGGCGACGUGGUCGACGAGGGCGGCGGGCUGGAGGCCGAGGAUGGCCGGCGGCAACGGCCAAUUCCGGCCGUCGCUGUCGCAGAGGGGGUGGUGGAGAGGGAAGAGAGUGCGGCGGAGCUCCCCUUCCGCUCCCAUCGAUGAUGGAUCCGAGACGCUCACUCUUUGCGGAGCCGCGAGGGGAAAGGUGGCCUCUCAAGAUAACAAGACUCGCCUGCCUCCUCCCAACUCCGAGUAGGUAUAAGGAGGCGGAUGGAGGGGGAGGCGAUUGCCCAACGCAAAGUACCAAAUUGCCCAUCGCACAUCAAAAGCCCAGAAGGGAACAUAAUUGGUUUAGACUCGGUGUAAGUCGAGCACAAUUGGUUUAGCCGCACCAUCUUGCAGCAUCAUAGACUCCUAAUUGGACUCAGGUGGUUGAGCUGAUGCUUAGCGGGAGAGCAUAACCAAAUGAUGUUCUUGUAAUCUCAUAAACACAACAGACCAUAUGGUUCCUUAGGAUUCCCCCAUUCCGAUGGCAUAGCUAUCUGCUGAAGGAAACAUUUGGCUGGCAUAAUUAUCAGUCAUUUAAUUUGGGUAUUUUAAGAAUCUUUCUUUUUCUUCUGUUCUAUUGCCCAGCAAUAAAAUGGUAUCGAGGAAUUGGCGUGUUUGACUGUAACGUGGAGCAAAUCGGGAAGUAUCGAUUCUCACAGUUUUCGAUUGGUCCCUUUUUUUAAUUAUAAUAUUAUUUUUUAUAAAAAAAAUAUAUAUAUAAAGUUAUAAUAUUUUAAAAAGUAUUAUAAACAUAAGAAGUCUCCAUAUUUAAUUGUUAUUGUUGUAUCUAUUGACUUUUGGGUCAACUUACCUUAAUUUUUAUUUUUUUUAAAUAGAUUUAUUAUAUUUUUAAUGAAGGUAUGAAAAAUGCUAUAACUGAAAGCAUGAAUCAUAUACAUAGAGAGAUUGAAUUUUGUGCAUAAAAGAGAUUGGACAAGUUCUUAUGGUGUUAUGAAUAGUGCUUCAGCUAUCUUGUGAAUAUGACAUUUCGAUAUCUUAAAAAAAAAUAUUUAAAAAAAAAUCUUUAGAAGAACCUAAAUGAGUUUUUCUUAAAUACUCUAGAAUUGAUAAUUUUUAGGGUGAAUUCUCAUAAAAGAAUCUUUUAAAUAGUAUCUUAAGUCUGAAAAGUUCAUCCUACUUCUAUUGGCUAUCGCCAUCGAUCCAUCGCUUAGACACUCACAAAUCAUCUCUCUCCUUCGUUAGACCCAUCAAGUGACAAAGUGUAAUGGCUACCAGAGCAUUUUAUUAGACCAGCAAGCAAUAAAGCAACCCUUGUUGCCCUUGUUCAAGCAACGACACAGGUGGUAACGACGGUCCUUACAUCCUCGUGAGCAUCGACGAUGUUACAUGACACCUUUGUAACUAACCAUAAUGAUGACGAUCAGGUGUCCAACGAGGGUCGCGUAACCUCUUCAUAUCCCUUCCUCACUAGCACAGUCUCCUUGUAUCCCUUUUUCGUUGUCGAUCAUAUAGAAGGAAAGAAGGGGAUGGCUCACACUCAUAGCCAACGAGGACAAUAAAAGUCGAGGGAUAAGGUGGAAGAGCAUUAAUAUUGAGAUAAAAAAAUUUAAAACGAUGAGGAUAAAACAAUCAUUUCAUAUAAUCAAAAUGGUCACGAAUCUAAAAUUCAUCCUAAUUUAUAUUUCAAUGUGUCACGAAUCAAGAGACAAAAAUUACACCGACAAAGUUUUCUUUGUCAAUAAGUUUGAAGAUUGCUUUGAUAGAGUUUUGAGACCGAUUCAAAGUUUGGUUGGUGCCAAAAACACUCACCAACUCUUUGAAGAGAAUGUCAUUUUGACGGGGAAUAAGUCAACGGAAGAGUCAACAAGUUUGAAGAUUUCUUAGGGAGUCUCGAGACGGAUUCAAAGCAGUGUUGGCAGCAUACGUAUGAAUUAUACUCGUUUGGAUUGCCAGAGACGAUCGGGCAACUUCUGUUUGGGUGCAAACCCUAAUAUAAUAAUAAUAUCCUUCAAAAUUGCUAUUAUUCUUCUUGUCUGCCAUGAGAUUGAUUCUUGGCUUUGAGCGACUAAAGGGAAUUGAAUGACUCGGUUUCAUUCUUAGGUAAUAAUGGUUCUAUUUUAGCGAUUCAGAUAGAUCUUACAUUCUUCUAUUUACUUGUAAGAAAUUAGGUUUUUUUCUUAUAGAUAUAUCUAUAUAAAUAAAAAAGAUAAUCUAUACUGAAUAGUUUAUUAUAAUAAAAAUGAGGCAUUUCCUCAACCAUUUGGUGAUGGAAUAGAAGAUUGUUGUGUAGGCAAUGACAAAAGUGAUCAGAGAAAGUGUCACUGAUUGAAUGUUGAAUGCCUGCCUAAACUACCAUCAUCCAUCCAUUAAUCAUUCACAGCAUGAUUUCAGAGUCUGGUCUUUUGUGUCUGAGCAAAUGGGUCCAAUGGUUGCAACAUCUGACCAUUAUUGCAGUGGUCUAAUAAAGUGCUUUUCUUCCUCUUCCUAUGAUCUCUUUUUCUUCAAACUUUGACUGUAUGUAGCAGCACUCACCUGUUCAUGUGCCCAUGCCAUUUUGAGCUUGGCAUAUGUGGAAGAAAGGUGGGUGGAGGAGACACUCCCAAUCUUUUUAGUCUGCUGUUGGAGCACCGCACCAUCAUCCAAUGUGAUUGAACAAAGACAAAUUUGUGCUGCAAUAAUUGUUGCAACCUCCCCAUAUUUUAAUUAGCACUAGUUAAGAUCUAUACACAAUAGGAAAUUUAUAUCGUCUUACCAUAUUUUAUGUUCUCUGUUUUUAAUUUUAAUUUUUAAUCGGUUCAAUUUAGAUUCGGACCAAAACGUAACCACGACUUAGGUAAAAAGAAAAAUAAUAAUUAAAUAUCGAUAUAAGAUAAAUAACACGAUUAACAUUAACAUUACGUAAUCCAAUACCUCUGGUCAUGACCAUAUAGGAUGAUGUCUUGAUAAUACGUAGUUUAACUAGUUAAAACAUCGUAUCAUAUUAUUGGACUCGGCAUGGGAUGAUCACAGACAAAGUCGAGAGAGGACUAUGUAAUUGUUACCCAUAAAAAUACUCAAUAAGUAUAUUCCUCAAACACAUGAAUAUAAUUUAAAAUUUUAUUUUAAACCUUUCGAACUUCCGACUAACAUAAGCAUCGGAAGAAUAUUUGUUAGAAAUACUCGUGGGUUCGAUACACUCGGGGUUAUUAUACAAGAAUUGAGACUGCAAAAAAAGAAAAAGAAAAAUGAUUGAUUAUAAAUUAGCAUCCAAUCUAGCAAAGGUAUUUUGUCAAGACGAACUUGCAUGGUGGAUGGGCUUAAAUAUGAGAAGGAGAGCUGAUUUUUGUGCUCUAUCAACAUUACAAUGAAUUGUUGCACUUCUCUCUUCCACCUUUUUUUAUAUCUAUAAAGCAAAACGAAGACAACGUGAGAUCAGCCCCACUCAGUAAUCAUCGAGGAACACAAAAAAGCUCCCUAAAAGAUGUGCAGCACUGGGAUUUGUCGAUGAACGAGAUAAAAAAGAAUGGUGUAGCCUCCUACGUAACGUAAAAGAAACCUAACCGAGAAGAACCGCAUGAUUCCAUCUUCUUGGGUAGGGAGGGUCUCAUCUGCUCCACCAGAGAGCCGAAAGCAAAAGCCAUCCAAGCUUUCUUUCCUGUGACCCCUUGUGGAUCCCAAAGGGUAUCACAUCAUUGCUGAUUCAAGUUGCAAGGAGCGUGUCAUUUGGAUAUGCUCCAUCAUAGCCCCCUGACAUGUUCUCUGCGACCUCACUGUUGACAGUCUCUUGGUAAAUGCAGUUGAUUGGAGCAACUGACGGAGAACAGUGAUCACUGUUGUUGACGACAAUCUCACCUCCGCAAUCAAUCUUCUCCCACCUCUCUCUGCUUCACUUUAGUCGAAACCGGAAGAGUGAGAGAGAGAGAGAGAGAGAGAGAGAGAGGAGGUCGUACCUGCAACUGAUGGAGCCACAUGAGUCGAUGCAAUUAUGGAAGCAGUGGCAAAUCUCUGCGUGUCGACGCGGUGGCAAGAAACAUCUCCGUUGUUGUCGUCCUCGUCUUCCCGACAGCGCACACACACACACACACACAAUUAUCUCCUCGUCCUUGUUGAUCCAAGGCACAGUGUAGCCUGUCUUGCCGAGGUUGCACCAUCUUAAAUUUAUUUUUCCUAUUAAAAAUACCAAUUUUGAUUUAAUUUACGAAAUUUCAUAUGGAUUUUGUAUCAUUAAUUUAUAAUUAAAUAUUUUUAUUCGACGGUUUAGAUUAAGUGGAUUGAUGUGUCGGUUUUGGCAUUAGGAUAAAUAUUAGUUGUUCGUGCUAAGUAGAGAGGUUGUGACGUUCACUUCCUAGUUUGUCUCGUGUUGAGAUAUUAGGAGGGUUGGAGGUUUAGCACUAAAAUAAAUUUAUUUUAUCAUUAAUCGUUAGUAAUCAAGAAUGUGCGAUAGAUAAAUAUUGAUAAUGAUUACUUGCGUUAUUAGACUAUCAAUAUAUCGUAAAAUUAUGCAUGAUAUAAAGUAAUGACUUGCCAAGUUAAUUUUAUCACCGAGUUAUAUGACCAACAUCGUCAAGCUAGAUCGACAUUCUCGUCGAUGCCACUUUGUUAGUUUUGUAGAGUCGAAUCCGAUGUAAUAUAUCGACUGACUUAGAUAAGGAUGUCAACAUAUUGAGAAAGAGUCAAAUGACAAACCGUUGAUUACUUAUAUAUAUAUAUAUAUGAUAUCUCUCUAAUUUUAUUAAAAAAUGAGUAGAGGCAUGAAUUUAAAUUUAAAUAUUUUUUCUGUGAAUGAUUCAGACUUAUAGAUUUAAUAGAUUAAUUAUGCUGUCGAAUCAUAUCGAUCGAUGACUUACUGCUACACUCGGAAGGCAGUCGGAUGAACAGAAGGUUACAGAUUGCUGCAAUCGCAGUCUGCUUGACCAGCUUUGCAUGAAGCCAUCAUGUGAAUGAAUUGGUGAAAGUACAGAGAUACCACUUUGUUAUCUCCAAACAUAGUAUACAUUAUGUUGUAUAUUUCUUAAAGAGCCUCGUGUGUGCACUGUCAUAAUUAUUUGAACAUGAAUCAUUAAGCUCUUCCUUACAAUCACAGUCGAGUGCAUGAACGACCAUUUUCCAACACAAUUUCAUCGUACAUUCUAAAGCAUGUCAAUGGUGGAUCUUCUGCGCACCAAAGUCAAGCUGAGCAAUGUGACAUUUGAGAUUUCUCUUCCACAGAUCUGGUUUGUUUCUUCUCGAUAUGUGGCUGAUAGGUGAGACUUUGAGCUGGAGUUGUGAUAAGAGAAACUCCUCGAGUAUUGAAUGCUGGUUUGCUAUAGAAGAAGAAGUAAACUCCUGGAUCUUUUUGGCUACAGGAGCUCUCAUGGAGUAUAGAGUUGUUUAUGCACUGCACGUUGCUAUUAACGCUUGUGAUGGAUGGAACCUCAUCACCUGUCUGAUGUGAUCUCUCUCCGAGAGUUUGACUCUUACGAUCGAUGUCUGCACUCGUGUGCAUGUCGAUCUUGUUUACCUUCUGCAGGUCUGGCGUGCUUAUUGUCUCAGGUCCGACGCACAUCGAUGCACCUUGAUUCUUACCAGCUAACUCUAUGUUUCUUCUUCCUGCAUGCUGUGAGUGCCCACUGUUCACCUUCUGGGUCUGCAAAUUAUCUGCUUCAGUGGUUGGUGAAGCUGGCGGGGCAUCCGUGUUUCCUUUCCCUCCUAAGCCAUUCGUAUCUUCCUGCGUCCUCGAGUCUCUCGUCUCCGUCGGCCCUGGAUCAGGUUCCGAUUUGUUCUUUGGUUCUUCAGUCGAGGCAUACGGCGACUCUGUUUCUAGGACGAUGGGAGUCAUCUCCUCUGUGAUUUCGAUUUCUAUAUUUGUAUUCUCUUCAUCGUCCUCCGUAGGAUUUCCUUCCACCAGCUUUUGUUGGGAUUGAGUCAGUUCUGUGGCUUGUGGAAGGUUAGAGGGAUUCGUAGUUUCUUUUGGUUCGGUGUCCAUUUCUGGUUUCUGUUCAGAUAAAUCUGUUUCGUUUGGGUUUGCUCUGCUGAUAGGAUCGAGGGGUUCUAUUACAGAUUCAGAGUUCGGGGUAUGGAUGGCUUGCUGAGUUGAUGAUGGUUGUGGUGGCCGGGGAGUAUCUCGAGAAGGAGAUGGAGACAUGGAAGCUGCUUCCUGAGUUGACGGUGCUUGGUGUGGCUGGGGAACACCUUGAGCUGGAGAUGGGGAUGUAGAGGAAGCUUCCUCAGGCCAUUGUUGUGGCUGGGGAACACCGUGAGAUGAGGAUGUAGAUAUAGCCGGUGGAGGUGCUGGAGCUUCUGUUCUCGAUACCGGUGGAGACGACGAGCUUGACGAACGAGAAAGACUCCUUGUAGAGGGAGAUGGUUGUUGCUGUCGUUGUUGUCUUAGAAUCACUCGUGAAGGCGGCGAAGCUGAUGUUCCCGGCGGUUGAGUCGGAGGUGGAGCUUUCGACGGUGGAUUCCAAUGUGGGAACCGUAAGCGAAAUGGCUGCUGCCAUUUUGGUCGGUCGGCCAUGAGAGCUGUGAAGCUCGUUAAGUUGAAAGGUAACGGAGAAAGAUAUCAAGACACGAGAAAGGGUAAAGAUGAUCCAAAGGUGCCUCAAUCGUCCAUUAUAUAGCUGCGAGCAGCAGCUGAUCCAAAGUAACCUUUGUAAUAGGGUUUGCAUCUGAUUCCUGUUUUAUGUGGUGCUUUGAAAGAUUGGUAUGUCCGAGAAACUACGCGAGGGGAAACCCAUCCACUUCAAACAUCUAAGUAAAUAUAUCGACUUAACUUUACCUCCACCCGAAGAAUUCCAAUCCGCAAUACAAUUAAUCUAUUAAUAAUCUAAAUCUUUAUUCACUUUCAAUAUAACAACACUAAACUGAGUCAUGUGGUCGACAUUCGAUUAGAUGACGUCUACAUGAGACACACAAACGAUGUGAAAUCGGACCGGACCGGACCGGGCCGGGCAAUUUAUUUCUCGGACCAAGCCCGGCUCAUUGACGGUUCAAGUCCACCCUAUCCUCGCCUCUAUAAAACAGAGCGCGACUAGGGUUUAUGUCCUUCUCCGCCGCUCCUCCAUCCGUCGCAGCCCGCGGUCGCACAGAGCGCGAGAGGAAGGCGAGCUUCGGUUUCCAACAAGAUGGGGUGAGUUUGCCGGAGAACCUGAUCGCGUUAUUUGCUCUUACUUCUUUAGUCGCUUUCUAAUGUUACGUUUGAACGGUCGCUCCGGUGGCUGGAUUUUGUUAUGUCCAUCUUGUUUCGAGCUGAUCGUUCUUGAUUCUUUUACCUGUUUCUCUUAUGGAGGGUGGAUCCUUUUCUUGGCGGUUCAUGAUUAGAAAUUUCAACUUCGAUCGGUUGAUUUCAUUGAUUUGGGCAAUUAUAUGAGAGGACCGAAGAAGAAAAUGACAUUGAUUUGUUGUCUUGGGAAUCCGAAUCGUAUAAUGUUCAUAGAAUUGGAUGAGGAGGAUGCUUUAAAACUGGAUAUUGUUGAGAGCUAUAAUUUUUGUUCUGAUGACUCAAAAAAUAAACUUAUUUUGCCAAGUAUGGGUAUAGAAGUUUUCAUCUAUGCUUAGAUUUUAUAGUUGUUGAAUUGGUACUCAGCAAACCUUUUAUUAUGCCCAAGUUAAUCAUUAUACUUGGGCACGCAUCAUGUUGCAUUUUACCUAAGUUGUUGUUAAGGGUUUGUAGUUUAUACUAUCGCUUGACUGACUACUAUCGCUAUGGACCAGCUCAUGUGGAGGGAUUUCCACACUUUGGUCUGGAACAUUUUGGUGUAACAACAAAAACGAGUAUCUUUUCCGCACAUUGUGGAUAAGCAUUUUCUUUUGGAUUAUCUUGUGAUGUAUGUGUUUCAUGGUUCAAGUUAGUGUGUGUGUGUGUGUGUGUCAUUUAUAUACUUCUUUCCUACCUUAAAAUUCUUGGUUGCUUAUCUCACUUUUUCUUACUGCAACUUAGCAGCAUAUGUAAGAAAUGAAUGUUUUGUUUCCUUUCUUUGUUUUGUUUACUGCAGCCUUACACCAAUUUUCUUGGGUUCGUAUGAGUUGUAAUCAGUAUUCGACUACUUGGCACUACCUAUCUUUAUAUGAAUCAAAUUAUGUGUUUUCUUAUCCCUCUGGUUUGAACAUGUUAGAACAAAAAACAAUGGUGUUGCAUUUGUUAAUUCAGUGUCAUUUAAUUGUGAAGAUGAAAUGUAGUUAUCUAUGACAUAACCAGCUAAUUCAAUUAUGAGUACCUUAUAAGUUUGUGUUUAAGAAAGGCACUGUUCUAGUUUAGAUCUUGAUUAGGAAGCAUACUAUCUGUAGAAAGGAUUUCUUUUUGGCUUCCAAGUGUCAUAGCAAAUUCAUUAGUUCGUGGUGCCUGACUAUUAUACUUGUAACACAUAUGAUAAGAAAUGCAAACCAAGUUUCUAUCACACCUCUCAAAGUAAAGAUAUCAUAUCAAGAAAUUUUUUGAUUGAAGAUGAAUGAUUUUAAUCAGAGGCUCUUGUACAGGAAGACUCGUGGUAUGGGAGCUGGGCGUAAGCUCAAAACUCACAGGAGGAGGCAGAGAUGGGCAGACAAAGCAUACAAGAAAAGUCACCUUGGCAAUGAGUGGAAGAAACCCUUCGCUGGUUCUUCACAUGCCAAGGGUAUCGUCCUUGAGAAGAUGUAUGCCAAGCUAAUUGCUAUUCUUUUUUCCUUUUCUUUCACUUUGACGUUGCUCGUGUUUGGAAGGCUGACAUUGAUUGCAUCUUGCAGAGGUAUUGAAGCUAAGCAGCCAAAUUCUGCUAUCCGAAAGUGUGCUAGAGUUCAGCUGAUAAAGAAUGGGAAGAAAAUUGCGGCCUUUGUUCCAAAUGAUGGUUGCUUAAAUUUCAUAGAAGAAAAUGUAAGUUUUAUAUUUCGAUAUUUUAAACGUCAUUGAGCUCUCCAGAGGAAUGAUCUAAUGCACUUAUAAGGAUUUAAUCAUGAGAGCUGGUAUCGGGCUGGUCUUGCUCGGACUGGUAUUAACCAAUCAGCAUGGUACUGCUAGGGUUUCAUGCCAACUGACAAUGAUCACAUUGCCUGGGGUGUAUAUGCACACUCUCAGCAUGGCACGAAGCCUGUAUCGGGACCUGCUUUGAACAGCCUGCACACCCCAUGAUCAUGGCACUUCCUCGUCAUAAUCUUUGAUCGAUCACCUCUUCAUCUAUAAAUUGUUAUUGAACUGCAUUGCUUUUGCAGGAUGAAGUGUUGAUUGCCGGGUUCGGGCGUAAGGGCCAUGCAGUCGGUGAUAUUCCUGGAGUAAGGUUUAAGGUUGUGAAGGUGUCUGGUGUCUCCCUUUUGGCACUGUUCAAGGAAAAGAAGGAGAAACCUCGAUCGUAAUGCUUUACUUUGAGUUUCUAGAUGAGACCAGUCGGCCUUUUGUUUAAUUCAUAUUUAGCGACUCUGAGCAAUUUCUGAACUGUUUUGGAAAAGAAAGAUGUUUCAUGGUUAUUCAUCAUUGAGCACUUAAUUAUUUGUUUGGCCUGUUAAGUUAAUUGUCGUAGUUUUUGAUCUCUUCGUAAGACACUUGAAAAUUAUUAUGUUCAUUUGAGGUGGAACUUCUCUUUGCCGUUCUGAACACAGCAUUUCAAGAAUUGGAAACACAGAAGGGUUUGUGCUAUGUAGGGUGUCAAGAAUUGGAAACACCUAAUGGUUGUUGCAACAUCAACAUGAAAAUUUAUGAGUAAUAAGCUCGAUCACCAAGGAUUCUCUUGCUCUGCUUUCUCGUGCCAUUAAAGAUGAUGACAUCGUAGAGGUUGGGUGUCCGAGGCAGCAAGCAAUCAAAGCCAAACCAAGUUCUUGAUGGACAACCUUGGGGUGUUUCACGUGGAUUUGCUUUACCAUUGAUUGAUAUGAUCGUUCUUUUCGAUUCGAAGAUGCAUCGUAUCAAUUAAUUAAUCAUGUCACGUCAACAUAACAUAUAAAAGAAAUAUGUUAUUAUUAUUAUUAUUAAAAAAACUUAAUCGUAUGUAAUCAACGAUCAUUAUAAAAUAUAUAUUAUAAUACAUAGUGGUCAUUAAGUAUGUUUUAAAUCCAAAUUCAUUAAAUUAAUUUUUAGUACUCUUAAAUUCUUACAAGCAUAAUAAUACACCAAAACUAAUUUAAUAAUAAAAAAGAUUUUGCUCAAUGUUUUCCUGCCCAACCGGAAAAAUACGGGAAGUUAAUAAUGGACGGUAUGAGAUUCUUCCGACACGGGCGUCCGUCUCAAAGCUCCUCAUAGGCUACUACAAAUAUCUUCCCGUCUUCGCUGUCCCGAACCCUCGUCUCUCCGCCUUACUCUCUCACCUUGAUCCAUGGCUUCCCUCGACACCGACGUCAACAUGGUUCCUGCCGGCGAGGGGUCCAGCGCCGGGCCCUCCUCCUCGAAGAAACCCAAGAGGUUCGAGAUCAAGAAGUGGAACGCCGUCGCGCUUUGGGCCUGGGGUAUGUGCCCGAUCGCCACACCCUCGUAGCAGUUUUAGGGUUUCGAAUCUUGGUUCUUUAUCCGUGGAUCUCAUCGAUUGAUGCACCCAUUUGAUGCGAUCGUUGCAGAUAUCGUGGUGGAUAACUGCGCUAUUUGUAGGAACCACAUCAUGGACCUCUGUGAGCUGUCUUUCCCCUUCUAUGAUUUCUUAAUUGUCUGUCUUGGUUACUGAUUUUUCGUGCGCUAGCGUUAGGGUUUCUGAUCUGUUUGUUCUGGCUUUGACAUUCUUGGUCCUGAAACAUCUUUGCAGGCAUCGAGUGCCAGGCUAAUCAGGCGAGUGCGACGAGUGAAGAGUGCACAGUGGCUUGGGGUAUGCUUCAUGAUUUCGAAACUUGACCAAUCUAAGUUCUUCUUUGAUUUCUUGUUUAUAAUGAUUAUCGUAUGAACUUUUUUCCUUCAUGAGAAUUAUGUAAGCAACAAACUUAUUAGUCCUUUUGACUUUUGAGUAUGAUGCAUCUUAAUCUCGUAAAUUUCUUUUAUGCUGUCUAUAUGGUAAAGUAAAUUUCUGCUUUGAUGGUCUAUACUUGUUCACAUGCGAUAAAUUAGGCAGCAGCAGUUCGUCCUACAGCCCAACUUGGAUAUUUUUUAGGCCACUUUUCUUGGCCUAAAAAAUGGAUCUUCCUUGUCAUACUAAUUCCUUUUACACAUAUCCAAUUUUCUUGAGCCUUCAUGCAUCGCACAAGGUGUGAUAAUGGUGCAAUUGCAAGAAAACAAGAAAAUUGCAAGUGGAAAAGGAAAGGUGGAGAAAGAAUGAGAAGUUGCUGUCAUCUUGAGGACUUGUAGAGUAGUUUCCCCUGACACUAGUUAUAAACAUGAUGUUGAGGGAAUUCUCAGGAAGUGUUGGCAUCCAUCACAAUGGUCUCAAAGAUUCUUUUUCUUUUACUUUAUAGAAGACGGACAAGUAUGUUGUCUAAAUAUAACUUAACCUUCGUAGCCAUCUGAAGAAAACUGAACCCAGGCUUUGAUAUUGUGGAUAAGACAUGAUUUAUGUGAGUCAAUCUUUUGUUGAACUCCCAGAUCCAUGAUGGCAUGUCAUUUUCAAGUUUGGUCAUCUUGCUUUUUUCUUAUAGGGAAGAUUCCUUUUGUUGCAAGAGCCACAAGGUUACAAUUUCUUUUUUACUUCUGAAUAGUCAUAUGGAUUUGAAAAUUUUGAUUGCAGAAAUGAUCGAUUAUUUGGUGCCGGAUUUGAUCAGUUGGAUUAGACAAAAUUAAUAGGAGGAUAGGGGCUUUGCAACUUAAUAUGUAGUUCAAUUUUUAAAAUUAUUGGCUACUAUAAUAGGAAAUUUGAACUCUAAAUUUGAAUGAUGAAUGAAAAUUCUUCAACUUUCCACUUCUGUGGAAAGAUAAUGGGGUUUUCCUGAUUACAUGAUUUUAAUUUCUCUCCACUUCUCUUUGAAAGUUUGUUUCUGGACCAAAGGAAACUACGUUCUUUCCACUUGUUUAACUGUUAUAACCAUUCUCAAAGUAUAUUUCACUCCUUACUUUCUUUCGUUGCCUCUUCUUUCAAUUCAAAAUAGGUUAUUGGAUUUGUAAAAUGAUAGGUGCUGGUUAUGGGCCUUCUCAACAAUUCACAGCACACUUGAAAUUGAAGACAUUUUUGUGUUCACAACAUAUAGAUUCUUUUGGGAAUUAGUUUAUGAGUCAAUUUUUAUGUUGGGAAAAGUUGGAAUUGUUUCCAAGGUGAAAGUUUAUGUGAAUAGAGUUAUAGAUGGUUGGUUAUGUUUCUUGCUGUUCACGGAUUAAUUUCAAUUUUUUCUUUGUCGUCGGUUAGUUUGGACUUUUAUCUAAUUAUGAGUCUAGAGAUUUCCAAAAUGACUUUUAGAAAUACUAACAAAAAUAUCUGGGUAUGACUUGGAUGCCCUAGCUAGAUGAGGUCGAUCCUCUCAAGUCUGAUUUCAUCGGAUCUCCUUUUGACUAGGAGAUCAAUCCGAUCUAGAUGCAGUUUGAUAUUUUCCAGUUACGAAACUUUAUUCCGUCAUUGCAUGUUCCAACAAGCUGGGUGAUAGGCUACCACAUCUGGAGCAUGGCUGGCUAGGACCGUCAUGUAAACAGAUGGUGCCGACUGGUGGUUGGUUUUGAUCAGAUAUCUAGAGCUACCAAUGAGCUUGUGCAAAGUGAUGCGGUGUUCUUGAAAGAUUAAUGCCAAUCCAAGUUAGGCGUUAGGCAUCGACUUUCAUAUAAUCUUUUAGGAUGAGUCUUGAGCUGCCAGUGUUGUCUUUUGGUAUGAAGAAGAGAUCAUGUGAUCAUUUGUAUUAUAAAUAAAGAUCAAGUCAGCAUUGUAAGUAAUUUUGUUAAGCUUGUACUUGGCUAAAACUGUCCCUUGUAGAUUUUCAACAUGGUCCAACCGUGAUGGUUCCAGGCCAAGUAGGCCUUGAAUUAGAUAGGAUUUGGAUCAUAAUAAUAGGCCUAUCCUACAAAAUGUUAUCCACGAGAUGGAGAAACAAUCUUGAUCAUUUUAUCUGUUUUAUUUAACUUUUUGUAUGCAUGAGUUGAAUUCACAUAUAACCAUUAUAUGAACUUCAGGACAUGUUGGAGAGUCAUUAUCAGUGACACAUUAUCUGCUGCUGUUGAAAAUACUUUCAUUUAUCAUGGUCUUUUGAACAUCAUCAUCAUCAACAACAACAAUGAACAACGUGUACUAUCAAAGAUUUUUAAUACUUUCUAUAUAUUUCAAGGAACACUUUUUCUGUGAACAUUGUGAAAUGGCAGUAGUAGGGCCAUGGAACCAGUGAGUUAUGGUGAAUGGAUAGUUGUGUUUUUGUUUUAAAACUUAAAAUGCUCAUCCACCUGUCUUUAACAUCCAUUAGUAAAGAAAGAUCAUGGAUACCCUGUCUUUGCACGGUAAUGGAUACCCUUAAAUUGGAUACAAAGACAACAAGUUUGUUUUGAUGAUCAUCUUUAGCACCUGAAUAGAUGCUACUGAAUUUAAUUUUGUCCACUGAUUUAUUUCAAUGGUUUAACUUUGUGUUCUUUCUUGACGGCCGCGGCAUGCUUUGCUCCAAACAGGUGUCUGCAAUCAUGCCUUCCAUUUCCAUUGUAUCAGUCGGUGGCUCAAGACUCGUCAAGUUUGCCCUCUGGGUAAUUAAUCUUUUACUACCAAUUCCUCUCAAAAUUUUUAUUUUUAUUUUUAUUUUACUACCGUAGUCUUGCAUUGACAAAAAACUCUUAAUACAUCUCCAGACAACAGCGAGUGGGAAUUCCAGAAGUAUGGUCAUUAGAAUAGAUGACUUCGCUGCAGGUGAUAUUUGCCAACAGAGUGCAUCCAGCUUUUGUAUCCUCGUGCUUCCUCUCCUGAUUUCCAUGUGUGUGUCAGUGUGGAAUUUUAGAACAUGUCAAUUGAUCGUCCACUGAUUGCUGCCGUCUGUAAACCAACACAACAAACAUCUUAUCAUUUAAUGCCUCGUUGUGAAGGCUGCUACAUCAUCGUUCAAUAAGUUUACCUGACAGCCUUCUUUCUUGAGAUUUGAGUUUCCUUACUCUUUCCCUGACAGCCUACUUUCUUGAGAUUGAGUUUCCUUACUCUCUCACCUGCCGUCACCAGAAGCUCACCCCCGGUCCUCGUACGCAUCCCUCGACGGGCCGGUGCCUUGUAAAUCUCAAUAUGGAUAUGGUCUGGCAAAACCCGGCCCGGCCCAUUAAUUGGCGAAACCAAUGACCUCAUGCGUGACUUCACGUAGCUAAUCUCCCGGGGCCCAGGCGGCUUUCGUCAGAAGACAGCAUUGUGCAUGUAUUCCAAUCUUGUGAUUUCUACCAACGCGAUCAAUCUUAUCAUAGAACAGUGACAGACACGUGGGAUGGAUUUUAUUAUAAAUUAUUUAGGGAAGGCAUCCGCGUGAAACGGUCGACCUUCUGGAAGCUCUACGCGUCCUGCUUAUCCUCCUCCGAGGGAAGCAACCAUGCAACAGUCGACCUGGGUCGGUCGCCUACCAUUUCCACCAACCACGCAUCCCUCGCCACUUAAUUGGACAACUCCAACCAUCCACACAACGGUCCAGAAUUCGACCUUCGCCGUGUGUCCCACCAUCGAUAAGUGGAGCCCAUUGCGUCGGACUUUCGAUGAUAACUAAUGGAAACCUGAACCCUGACGACGAUGACGCGGUCCUUCCAUUUGUCCGCUCCCUCUUUAUAGCCCUCGUUCGCUCUGCUUCCACGACACCGCGGACCAAGCAAGGGAGGAUGACGACGGAACCGCUCGGGAAGCCGGCCCUCGAGGCCUCUCCCAGCUUCGGCGGCGCCUCCGCCUCCGCAUCCGUCGACGAGAACGAGCCGGCGUCCGAUGCAUCCAACUCUGCCUCUCGCCACGAUUUUUCCGCUCACCAAGUUAGUCCGUCGGAGGCGGAGGAGAAGAACGCGGACGACGAAGACGACGACGACGACGACUCCGGCGAUGAAUUCGAGUUCACGUUCGCGGUGAGGGACGCCGAUGCGUUUCCCUCCGUCACCGCGGACGAGAUCUUUUCCGGCGGCCGGAUCAUACCCACCUACCCCGUCUUCAACCGCGACCUCCUCCUCCCUCUUUCCGCCGCCGACGAGCCGACGAUCACAGAAAAGGAUCAGGCCGACCAGAUUCCGUUCGGACGGCUCCAGAUCGUGACAGGGGCGGAGUCUUCGACGGAGGAGCCGGCGGCGGCCGGAGAGCACUUCCCGGGUGGGGCAGACCGGUGCAAGAAGAGCGCCUCGACCGGAUCGUCGAUGCAGUGGCGGCUACGUGACAUGGUCGGCCGGAGCCACAGCGACGGGAAGGAAAAGUUCGUGUUCCUCGAGGCGUCGGCCAAAAAGAACAUCACGAGUCCCAACACCGCGAGAGCGGCGGCAGCAGGUGGGAAGGGGGCGAAGGAGGGAGGGCGGUUAGCGGAGGUUGAUGCGGUCACCGGCCACCGUCGGUUCCACGGCAAGGGAACAAGCGAGAAGGCGGUGAAGGGACCGAGGCGGUCCUUCUUACCGUACCGACAACAGCUCCUGGGGUUGUUUGCUCCAGUGAACGGCCUCCGCCGGUCACAUCACC
This 40319-nucleotide long non-coding RNA is filed under the name Musa acuminata (dwarf banana). RNAcentral describes it as "long non-coding RNA (MACU_LNC001034)". The record is from RNAcentral. Lineage: Eukaryota; Viridiplantae; Streptophyta; Magnoliopsida; Zingiberales; Musaceae.